This 460-nucleotide ribosomal RNA is filed under the name uncultured bacterium. RNAcentral's name for it is "partial 16S ribosomal RNA". It matches the Rfam family "Bacterial small subunit ribosomal RNA", at positions 338 to 795 of the family's 1533-position model. The record is from RNAcentral.
CCUACGGGUGGCAGCAGUGAGGAAUAUUGGUCAAUGGACGAGAGUCUGAACCAGCCAAGUAGCGUGAAGGAUGACUGCCCGAUGGGUUGUAAACUUCUUUUAUAUGGGAAUAAAAUGUUCCACGUGUGGGAUUUUGUAUGUACCAUAUGAAUAAGGAUCGGCUAACUCCGUGCCAGCAGCCGCGGUAAUACGGAGGAUCCGAGCGUUAUCCGGAUUUAUUGGGGUUAAAGGGAGCGUAGGUGGAUUGUUAAUGCAGUUGUGAAAGUUUUCGGCUCAACCGUAAAAUUGCAGUUGAAAAUGGCAGUCUUGAGUACAGUAGAUGUGGGCGGAAUUCGUGGUGUAGCGGUGAAAUGCUUAGAUAUCACGAAGAACUCCGAUUGCGAAGGCAGUUCACUGGACUGCAACUGACACUGAGGCUCGAAAGUGUGGGUAUCAAACAGGAUUAGAUACCCCAGUAGUA